Homo sapiens (human) is the source of this 390-nucleotide long non-coding RNA. The record is from Ensembl. NCBI's taxonomy places the organism in Eukaryota, Metazoa, Chordata, Mammalia, Primates, Hominidae.
CCACUAGGCAAGUGCAAUGACAAAAGAAACAAGCGUUAAUCCUGUCUAGCCAGAGCACUAAGGAACCUGCUUAUUCUGCGAAUGCCUCAGCAAGGUCCUAAAGGAGAGCUUCCACUGCCUCCUAGUUUGCAAAUGAUUUCCAAAUAUAAUUUCUCAUCGGAAUCUCACAACCACCAAAUACGACCAGGCAUUAUUCAUCUGAUUUUACAGAUGAGGAAAUCAAGGGUCAGAGAAGUGAUGUGACUUGCCCAAGGCCCACAGAUGGUAGGUGGCAAAGCCAGGACUUGGAAUCCAAGAUAAAGAAAACUCAGUGGGAAGGAGAAGUUUGUGAUUAAAUCCAAUUAAAGGAAUAGAGUAAAAUAAAGAACACAGUAAAUUUCUCACCAGGAA